Long non-coding RNA from Pogoniulus pusillus (Red-fronted tinkerbird), 3581 nucleotides. RefSeq lists it as uncharacterized. The transcript is spliced from 6 exons. The record is from RefSeq and is a predicted model, not a curated record. NCBI's taxonomy places the organism in Eukaryota, Metazoa, Chordata, Aves, Piciformes, Lybiidae.
GCCGCCGGGCUACCUGGGGCCAAACGGCGGCGGCCUGAGCUUCCCGGGCGUGCCACAGGGGGGCGCCGCCGGACCGGCAACGAGCGGCGCAGAGGCGAGCUGCGCAUACCCAGCUGUGAGGAGCCGAGCCGAGCCGGGCCAAGCUGAGACGGGGCGCCUUGGGCCGAGCCGAGCCGCGCCACCGCCGCGACCCCUUGUGCUCAGCUGUACGCCCCGCGGCCGGCCUCGGCUGUUCCUUAGCGCCGGUUUGGCCCCGUCAGCGGCCGCGGGCACUGCAGCGCCGGCCGUGCCGUCGGAGGUGCCGCGUGUGUGGCGGCCACGCUGUGGCCUGCGGCUCGGCUUGUGCGGCAGCGCCUGGGCUGCCUACACCGAGCAAACGCGGAGACCCUGCAAAACCUGGGGCCUCUCCGGGUUUGUCCCAGGCCACCUGCCUCCUUGGCCUGGGUGAGUGCGGGGAGUGGAGUGUCCACUGCGGCUGGAGCUGGCGGCAGAGUUGGAAACACAUCUUGCAAAUUCCUCAGGUCCCUGGAAAAUACACCUUCAAGCUCCUCUCUGUUUUGGGAAAAGCAGCUGCCCUGUUGCUCCUUGUUCAGGCUGCUCUUGCUCUGCAGUAAUUUUCUCUGAUGUAUAAUGGAGUUUCAAUGGCCUAAAUCUAAGGAACACUGCUUAGGAAGAGGACAGAAGAGGCAAUGUAUUGCAGUUGUCCGUGGCUGAGAUUUCCAACAUGCUUCCAAGGUCAUGUGGCAAGAGAUGCUGUCCGCAGAAAUAUCUCCUCCUGAGCGUCGCACCGGCCAAGGCCUGCUGCCCUACCAGCGCCCAGGAGAUUGGGCAAGAGAAGAAGGCUGAAUCGUCCACUGGUGAUGGGGCAGGGUAGAGAGCUCAGCAGGCCCAGUCACCGGCUGGGUUGGUGGGGCAGUAGGAGAGCAGAGGAGGCUCCAGUUGCAGCUUGUGGACAAGUGGGAUUUCUCUUUGACAGAAAGAGCCCAGGAAGUGCAUUUAGAGUGACGUGCUUGGGAAGAGGCUGCUGCCACCAACCACACGGCAUAGGGACAUCCCAAAGACAGAGGGGCAGGAAUCUCUCCUGCAGCCCUUGCUCAGGCAGCCUUCAGUGCCAGGCUGGACCAGCAGUUUAGGGAAAGGCUGCAGGAUCGCUCCCUUGGAAAAUAAGAGUAUUUUUAAUGUGGAAGCAAAUCUGAUGAAUAAUAUAAGGUGCCUGGUACAGUUGGUCCUUUUACCGAUGAUAAAGCUGCUAUAAAUAUGCUGCGUGUUGUCUCGGCCUGUGAACCUGCGACAGAGUUACAAGAAGCAAGAGCAAAUAGCUUUUCAUCCCUUACUUAUUUCCACAUCACUAGCAAGGAUUAUACCUAAAGGCCAAUAGUAUAGAGAGGAGACAUUUCAUUGUAAUUACACAUUUAGGCCAACGUGUGGUUGGCUUGCCUAGUUAGCAUUAAAAAAAGGAAUAAUUGAGCUAUAUAUAAUACACAUCAGUCAAACUGUCAAGUUGCUGAAUUUAACAAAACUUAGGCAAGGUUUUUAUAUUUUUUUUCUUUCUUUUUUUUCUUUUUCUUCUUUUUUUUCUUUUUCAUGUAGACGCUUUCAGUUUAACAGCUAAAUAUUUUAAUUGAGGAGACUGAAUGAAAUGAAGCUAAACCGUAAUUCUAGUGCAGUGUAGCUCAACUGGGUAUUCUAAUAUUACCAACAACUUUGAUUUUAAGUUUUUAAUGUAUUCAAGUGCUACCCAUAGAGAGGGAAAUUAGCCCUGCAAUGGCAUUUUCUUUUUCAUGGUGAAUGAUGAAAUUCAGAGACAGGGGAAGUGCUUAUUUGGGUUGUUGUUGUUUUUUUUUCAUGGUGGGUACUCAGAUGGAACAUUUUGCUUUGAAAAAAGUUCCCUUGGGAGCUGUGAUGAAGUAAAACCAUUGAGCUAUUACAACUGGAGGUUAAAAAAAAAUGAUAGCUUCAGUAUUUAAACACUUUUAAAGUAUAUGUCUGUCUAAAAUAGAAUAGAAAAUCCUUUACAUUUGUAGUUCUCGUAAGGUUUUUUUGGUUCUUAGACUAUAGAAUCAAGUCAAGAUUUGCACUGUACAUGAAAAAAUCUUCUUCUUUUGAAUGUAUUUGCAUAAGUGGAAAGCAAGCUGUUAAAGAAAAGAAUGCUGAUUAAAAAUUACCAAGAUAAGAACUAAUUUGGCAAUGAAUGAUUCUGAGAAUUUUGCUUUCCCUUCCAGGCGAGCCCUGCUCUGUGCAGCACCUCACGCUUCAGCUGGUUCACUCUCCUUGCCGCACAGAGGAGCCACCCUUUUAAAACUCGUCGUUCCUCUAAAGACAGUCUUUGAGGAGGAGAAUUUUGCUUCAGAACAAAGCGUGUUCAAAGGCAGGGGGUUUGCUGAGAAAAACGUCAAUUAGCUUCUGUUAUUAAAGAUACAGUUCAAAACGCUUCAACAUUUAUCACCGGCUCAGAGCCUGCUCCCCAGUGACAUCACCCAGACCUUCCUCUUCUGUCUGCAGCGCGUGGCAGCCGCUCGGUUCCUUUCCAGAAACUUCCGCCUCCUCUCAUCCGGGUCUUCAUCCACCACUCUCCGCCGGCGACCUCCAGUUGGCUGUGGCGGCUGUAUCGUCUGCGUGGGCUGCAUCUGCUGCGCUGCUGCCGGCGAAACCUGGCUCCCUCAUCUCUGUCUUGGCCUUUACCACCUCUGGAGACAGGAAUGGGAGUGCUCUUUGCACUUGAGUGGAGCUGGGAAGACCGUUGUGCCCCUUAGCUAAGGGCAGAAGAAAGGAUUUAGGUACCUGAACUCAGCCUUGCAUUCUGGUAUCCCUGCAAUGCAUGGAUAAGGGAUAUUCCUCUUACCAGAUGUUUUCAUUCUCCCCCUGUGGAUGCUGCAGUUCUUUCUUUAACAUUACAGGCACAAAGUGUUCAGCCCCCAUGCCAUGAAACUACAGAAAAAGAGGUAUUUGUGUAUUUUCUAGUAAUGAUCCUGCUUCUAACAGUCACUGGCCCAUGCUGUUACAGAAAAGGAACAUGGUAGUGGGGAGCCCCACAUAGUCUGUGCUCCAGCUCCUGGGCAGAUGAAAUACGUGCCCAUAUCUCCUUCAGGAUGGGAAAAUCCAACUGUCUGGGAAUAACCAACUUUUGGACUGCUUUACCACCUCACUGUGGUAUCCAGGCCGCAGGGCUCUAGACUGUGUUUGGGACUUAAUACCCCACCCCAUGGGUCCCUUUGCCCAGCUGGAGCUGCUGCUGCUGCUCACAUUGCUGCCGCAGCCGUGGCACAGGCUGGAACAGUCUGGAAACCUGAAUUGUUGACUCAUAAUUAACCCUCUUGUUCUGGCAAAGACCCAAACCUCCGAGGUGCUUCCUUUUGACUCCAGGGAGUGGACGUACUCAGCGUUUUGUCAGACUGAGCCCUGAAUUUCAAUUGUGGCAAUUAACAUGUGUUUGCCUAACACCUCUGUCUGUCUCAAUUAAAACGAUACUAUCGUCUUGCAAGGUCGCUUUUCUGUCUAGAAUCUCACCACAAACUGUGAAGAAGAGUUUGUUCCCUCCCCUAGCUGACUUGGGUCAAUUAAAGUGGCAAUUUUGUGUGCAA